UGGGGAAUAUUGGACAAUGGGGGCAACCCUGAUCCAGCAAUGCCGCGUGUGUGAAGAAGGUUUUCGGAUUGUAAAGCACUUUCGACGGGGACGAUGAUGACGGUACCCGUAGAAGAAGCCCCGGCUAACUUCGUGCCAGCAGCCGCGGUAAUACGAAGGGGGCUAGCGUUGCUCGGAAUGACUGGGCGUAAAGGGCGUGUAGGCGGUUUGUACAGUCAGAUGUGAAAUCCCCGGGCUUAACCUGGGAGCUGCAUUUGAUACGUGCAGACUAGAGUGUGAGAGAGGUUGUGGAAUUCCCAGUGUAGAGGUGAAAU
RNAcentral lists this ribosomal RNA (314 nucleotides) under uncultured bacterium. Its description in RNAcentral is "partial 16S ribosomal RNA". It matches the Rfam family "Bacterial small subunit ribosomal RNA", at positions 355 to 687 of the family's 1533-position model. The record is from RNAcentral.